AUGGGAUAUAUGUUAUCAAUUCGGAAUAGCUUGGCAGAAUAUUUUAGCGAACUAAACAAAAAAUUGCCAAAGCCAGAAAAGACUGAAAUACCAAAAGGAGAAACACUAUAUCUUAUAUUUGAUGGAAAUAAACCUGGCAUAUAUUUGGAAUGGGAAAAUAUUAUGAUUGAAAAAUUAGAUGCAAAAAGAAAAGGACAAGAUUUAACAUUCAAAAGAUAUUAUAGUAUAGAUGAUGCCUUACUUUGGGCAAAAAAGGUAUUAGGACCAGAUUAUUAUAUUGACCCAAAGGCUAAAGAUUAUAUCCAAAUGAGAAGAGGCAUACCUACUUCACCACUCCCACAAAGGGGGAGGCAGCAAGCUCAAAAAAUAUAA
This 372-nucleotide ribosomal RNA is filed under the name Triticum aestivum (bread wheat). RNAcentral describes it as "partial small subunit ribosomal RNA". The record is from RNAcentral. Lineage: Eukaryota; Viridiplantae; Streptophyta; Magnoliopsida; Poales; Poaceae.